This 376-nucleotide ribosomal RNA is filed under the name uncultured bacterium. Its description in RNAcentral is "bacterial SSU rRNA". It matches the Rfam family "Bacterial small subunit ribosomal RNA", at positions 524 to 898 of the family's 1533-position model. The record is from RNAcentral.
GACGAACCGGACAAACGUUAUUCGGACUUAUUGGGCUUAAAGGGUGCGUAGGCGGUGCGAUAAGUUGGGUGUGAAAGCCCUCGGCUCAACCGAGGAACUGCGCCCAAUACUGCCGUGCUAGAGGGAGACAGAGGUAAGCGGAACUGAUGGUGGAGCGGUGAAAUGCGUUGAUAUCAUCAGGAACACCGGUGGCGAAAGCGGCUUACUGGGUCUCUUCUGACGCUGAGGCACGAAAGCUAGGGUAGCGAACGGGAUUAGAUACCCCGGUAGUCCUAGCCGUAAACUCUGAGCACUUGGUUGGGGACCUUCCCAUAAGUUCCUGGCCGAAGCGAAAGUGAUAAGUGCUCCGCCUGGGGAGUAUGGUCGCAAGGCUGAA